AGCAGUUAACACUAUGAUUCUACAUCUUAACUUACUGUUUUCCUCUAAGCUUGGGUUUUAACUUCACACAAAAAUGAAAACACCCCAAACAUAAUAUGUACUAAUAAAUAUGAAAUAAAGCAGAAAUAAUAAAAGCAGAAUAAAUAAUCAAAAGUAGAAAAAUAAAAAAAUAAAUCAAACAAAUAAAAUAAAAUAAACA
RNAcentral lists this long non-coding RNA (199 nucleotides) under Lathyrus oleraceus (garden pea). RNAcentral describes it as "Pisum sativum (pea) long non-coding RNA (PSAT_LNC035786)". Lineage: Eukaryota; Viridiplantae; Streptophyta; Magnoliopsida; Fabales; Fabaceae. The record is from RNAcentral.